GAUGAAGAACGUAGCGAAAUGCGAUACGUAAUGUGAAUUGCAAAUUCAGCGAAUCAUCGAGUCUUUGAACGCACAUUGCGCCCCCUGGUAUUCCGGGGGGCAUGCCUGUCCGAGCGUCAUUGCUGCCCUCAAGCACGGCUUGUGUGUUGGGCCCCGUCCUCCGAUCCCGGGGGACGGGCCCGAAAGGCAGCGGCGGCACCGCGUCCGGUCCUCGAGCGUAUGGGGCUUUGUCACCCGCUCUGUAGGCCCGGCCGGCGCUUGCCGAUCAACCCAAAUUUUUAUCCAGGUUGACCUUGGAUCAGGUAGGGAUACCCGCUGAACUUAAGCAUAUCAAUAAGCGGAGGA
RNAcentral lists this unclassified non-coding RNA (345 nucleotides) under soil metagenome. RNAcentral's name for it is "partial contains 5.8S ribosomal RNA, internal transcribed spacer 2, and large subunit ribosomal RNA". The stretch from base 1 to 119 matches the Rfam family "5.8S ribosomal RNA", at positions 35 to 154 of the family's 154-position model. The record is from RNAcentral.